This 524-nucleotide ribosomal RNA is filed under the name uncultured bacterium. RNAcentral's name for it is "partial 16S ribosomal RNA". It matches the Rfam family "Bacterial small subunit ribosomal RNA", at positions 28 to 523 of the family's 1533-position model. The record is from RNAcentral.
GACGAACGCUGGCGGCGUGCCUAAUACAUGCAAGUCGAGCGCAGGAAGCCGUCUGAACCCUUCGGGGGGACGACGGUGGAAUGAGCGGCGGACGGGUGAGUAACACGUAAAGAACCUGCCCAUAGGUCUGGGAUAACCACGAGAAAUCGGGGCUAAUACCGGAUGUGUCAUCGGACCGCAUGGUCCGCUGAUGAAAGGCGCUCCGGCGUCGCCCAUGGAUGGCUUUGCGGUGCAUUAGCUAGUUGGUGGGGUAACGGCCCACCAAGGCGACGAGGCAUGGCCGACCUGGGAGGGUGAUCGGCCACACUGGGACUGAGACACGGCCCAGACUCCUACGGGAGGCAGCAGUAGGGAAUCUUCCACAAUGGACGAAAGUCUGAUGGAGCAACGCCGCGUGAACGAUGAAGGCUUUCGGGUCGUAAAGUUCUGUUGUAAGGGAAGAACAAGUGCCGCAGGCAAUGGCGGCACCUUGACGGUACCUUGCGAGAAAGCCACGGCUAACUACGUGCCAGCCGCCGCUGUAA